UGGAGAGUUUGAUCCUGGCUCAGAUUGAACGCUGGCGGCAGGCCUAACACAUGCAAGUCGAGCGGUAACACAGGGAGCUUGCUCCUGGGUGACGAGCGGCGGACGGGUGAGUAAUGUCUGGGAAACUGCCUGAUGGAGGGGGAUAACUACUGGAAACGGUAGCUAAUACCGCAUAACGUCGCAAGACCAAAGAGGGGGACCUUCGGGCCUCUUGCCAUCAGAUGUGCCCAGAUGGGAUUAGCUAGUAGGUGGGGUAACGGCUCACCUAGGCGACGAUCCCUAGCUGGUCUGAGAGGAUGACCAGCCACACUGGAACUGAGACACGGUCCAGACUCCUACGGGAGGCAGCAGUGGGGAAUAUUGCACAAUGGGCGCAAGCCUGAUGCAGCCAUGCCGCGUGUAUGAAGAAGGCCUUCGGGUUGUAAAGUACUUUCAGCGGGGAGGAAGGYGWURAGGUUAAUAACCUYRKCRAUUGACGUUACCCGCAGAAGAAGCACCGGCUAACUCCGUGCCAGCAGCCGCGGUA
This 526-nucleotide ribosomal RNA is filed under the name Enterobacter asburiae. RNAcentral's name for it is "bacterial SSU rRNA". It matches the Rfam family "Bacterial small subunit ribosomal RNA", at positions 1 to 522 of the family's 1533-position model. Lineage: Bacteria; Pseudomonadati; Pseudomonadota; Gammaproteobacteria; Enterobacterales; Enterobacteriaceae. The record is from RNAcentral.